RNAcentral lists this ribosomal RNA (233 nucleotides) under uncultured bacterium. Its description in RNAcentral is "partial 16S ribosomal RNA". It matches the Rfam family "Bacterial small subunit ribosomal RNA", at positions 118 to 348 of the family's 1533-position model. The record is from RNAcentral.
UGAGGAACAUGACCUUCGGCGGGGGAUAGCCGGCCCGACGGCCGGGUAAUACCGCGUACGACCACAUGGGGACAUCCCUGAGUGGUGAAAGCAGCAAUGCGCCGAUGGAGUGCCUCGCGGCCUAUCAGCUAGUUGGUGAGGUAACGGCUCACCAAGGCAACGAUGCGUAGCCGACCUGAGAGGGUGAUCGGCCACAUUGGAACUGAGACACGGUCCAGACCUNUACGGGGAGG